GCCAAGGCAAGAUGGGUCAAAGUCAGAGUGGUGGUCAUGGUCCUGGAGGUGGCAAGGAUGACAGGGACAAGAUAAAGAAAUAUGAACCUCCUGUACCAGCUAGAGCGGGGAAAAAGAAAAAGAAAACAAAGGGACAAGAUGCUGCCAGCAAACUGCCACUGGUGACAUCGAACACUUGGUGCUGGUUAAAAUGAUUGAAGUUGGAGAGAAUUUAAGACUAUCUUCUCAUGGGGGAAGAAUUCAUUAGAAAUCAGGAGCAAAUGAAACCAUUAGUAGAAAAGCAGGUGGAGGAAAGGUCAGAAGUGGAGGGUCUGAGGGGGACCCCAAUCGAACCUCGGAAGAGAUGAUUGCUGCCAACCACACCAUCGUGUCAUCGUUUGUGGGCUCCGAACACUAUGUCAACAUUCUUUCAUUUGUAGACAUGAAUAUCCUGGAGCCAGGCUGCUCAGCUGUGCUCACGCACAAGGUGCAUGGCAUGAUGGGAGUGCUGACGAACAACACAGACCCCCAGUCAUGGCAAUGAAGGUGGAGAAGGCCCCCCAGGAGAUCUGCACUGAUAUCGGGGAGCUGGACAAUCAAAUCCAGGAAACUAAGGAAUCUGCAUAGCUUCCUCUCACCUACCCUUCGUAUUAUGAAGGCCCUCCAAGGGUGUCAUCCUCUAUGGCCCGCCUGGCCCAGGUAAAACCCUGUUAACCAAAGCAGAAGCAAACCAAACCUAGGCCACUUUCUUGAGAGUGGUUGGCUCUGAACUCAUUCAGAAGCACCUGGGUGAUGGGCCCAAACUCAUAUGGGAAUUGUUUCCAAUUGCUGAAGAACAUGCACCUUUCAUCAUGUUUGUUGAUGAAAUUGACACCAUCGAGACUAAAAGAUACGACUCGAAUUCAGGUGGAGAGAGAGAGAUUCAGUGGACAAUGCUGGAGCUGCUGAACCAGCUGGAUGAGUUUGACUGAGGGGAGACAUGAAAGUGACCGUGGUCAUGAACCAAACAGAAACUCUGGAUCCAGCUCUUAUCAGAACAGGCCACACUGACAGUAAGAUCGAGAUCCCCCUGCCUGAUGAAAAGACCAAGAAGCACAUCUUUCAGAUUCACACAGGUUGGAUGAUGCUGGCUGAUAACGUGACCCUGGACGACUUGAUCAUGGCCAAAGACGACCUCUCCGGUGCUGACAUCAAGGUGAUCUGUACAGCAGCUGGUCUCAAGGCCUUGAGAGAGUGUAGAAUGAAAGUCCCAAAUGAAGACUUUAAGAGAUCUAAAGAAAAUGUUCUUCAUAAAAAGCAAGAAGGCACGCCUGAGGAGCUCUAUCUCUAG
This is an RNA transcript of Carlito syrichta (Philippine tarsier), 1309 nucleotides long. It is a transcript of the gene named 26S protease regulatory subunit 4-like, with no coding region annotated. The record is from RefSeq and is a predicted model, not a curated record. The transcript is spliced from 2 exons. Lineage: Eukaryota; Metazoa; Chordata; Mammalia; Primates; Tarsiidae.